ACAAUACAUUGUAUAGCACUUCAACAGUAUUUCUUAACAGCAUUAAAAUAGAAAUAUCACAUUCUUCAACAAAUGUCUAAUGUAGAAUUUAAGCACCAGUUAUCCCGAUGCAUAGCUAAUACAUGUGAUAAAUAUACCAUGGUUUUAAUAAAUAGAGGUUCAUUAUCAACAUGUAACUUUUUUUUAUACAUUAUGGUUCUGCCAAUUAAUACAUUUUUUAAAUAAAUGUCAAAUUAACAUUUUAACUUAUUAUGGCACAAAAAUUAUGUAGAAUAAUGGAAUUUCUGUUUUUUUUUACACUGACUUAAUUAGCAAAUAUCAAUACUUGUUGGUAUUGAAA
This 340-nucleotide long non-coding RNA is filed under the name Mytilus galloprovincialis (Mediterranean mussel). Lineage: Eukaryota; Metazoa; Mollusca; Bivalvia; Mytilida; Mytilidae. The record is from RNAcentral.